This 526-nucleotide ribosomal RNA is filed under the name uncultured Clostridium sp. Its description in RNAcentral is "bacterial SSU rRNA". It matches the Rfam family "Bacterial small subunit ribosomal RNA", at positions 8 to 551 of the family's 1533-position model. The record is from RNAcentral. Lineage: Bacteria; Bacillati; Bacillota; Clostridia; Eubacteriales; Clostridiaceae.
AGAGUUUGAUCCUGGCUCAGGACGAACGCUGGCGGCGUGCUUAACACGUGCAAGUCGAGCGAUGAAGCUCCUUCGGGAGUGGAUUAGCGGCGGACGGGUGAGUAACACGUGGGUAACCUGCCUCAUAGAGGGGAAUAGCCUUUCGAAAGGAAGAUUAAUACCGCAUAAGAUUGUAGUACCGCAUGGUACAGCAAUUAAAGGAGUAAUCCGCUAUGAGAUGGACCCGCGUCGCAUUAGCUAGUUGGUGAGGUAACUGCUCACCAAGGCGACGAUGCGUAGCCGACCUGAGAGGGUGAUCGGCCACAUUGGGACUGAGACACGGCCCAGACUCCUACGGGAGGCAGCAGUGGGGAAUAUUGCACAAUGGGGGAAACCCUGAUGCAGCAACGCCGCGUGAGUGAUGACGGUCUUCGGAUUGUAAAGCUCUGUCUUUAGGGACGAUAAUGACGGUACCUAAGGAGGAAGCCACGGCUAACUACGUGCCAGCAGCCGCGGUAAUACGUAGGUGGCAAGCGUUGUCCGGAUU